UGGAAACAUUAAGAGACCACUGCAGAAUUUUCUGGAUUUGGCUGUGUGGCAUGGAGAAUUGACCCGCUGGAAAUUGGGGAACAUUGUCAGAGCAGAAGGAAGCAAGUUUUCUUCCAGGAUAACCUUGUAUGUGGCUUGAUUCAUGCAUCCUUCACUAAGAUGAAUCUGCCCGAUUCCAGCCUUGCUGAAGCACCCGCAGAUCAUCACCAAUUGUCCACCAAAUUUCACAGUGGGCGCGAGACACUGUGGCUUGAAGGCAUCUCCAGGUCUCCGUCUAAUCAUGAGAUGACCAGGUGGACAAGCGCUGAUGAUCUGGGGGUGCUUCAGCAAGUCUUGAAUCUAUCAAGGAGGUCUAUAAUACCUGCAAAAAUAUAUAUCUCGUAAUAUUUGUGAUUUUAAAUUUUGCUUGCAAUACAUUUAGUUUUGUCAGGGCACACGGAUGUGCUGCGUUUCAUUCAAGUUGGAUGCUCCAGUUAGCUUAGCAGGGGUUUGACUCUCAUUAGAGAUGUCUCCUAGCGACCCAACUGAUAAACAAUGCUGCAGCGCUAGGUCUCCUAGCGACCCAACUGAUAGACAGUGCUGCAGCGCUAGGUCUCCUAGCGACCCAACUGAUAAACAAUGCUGCAGCGCUAGGUCUCCUAGCGACCCAACUGAUAGACAGUGCUGCAGCGCUAGGUCUCCUAGCGACCCAACUGAUAGACAGUGCUGCAGCGCUAGGUCUCCUAGCGACCCAACUGAUAGACAGUGCUGCAGCGCUAGGUCUCCUAGCGACCCAACUGAUAAACAAUGCUGCAGCGCUAGGUCUCCUAGCGACCCAACUGAUAGACAGUGCUGCAGCGCUAGGUCUCCUAGCGACCCAACUGAUAGACAGUGCUGCAGCGCUAGGUCUCCUAGCGACCCAACUGAUAGACAGUGCUGCAGCGCUAGGUCUCCUAGCGACCUAACUGAUAGACAGUGCUGCAGCGCUAGGUCUCCUAGCGACCCAACUGGUAAACAACGCUGCUAGCGCUAUGUCUCCUAGCGACCCAACUGAUUGACAAUGCUGCAGCGCUAGGUCUCCUAGUGACCCAACUGAUAAACAAUGCUGCAGCGCUAGGUCUCCUAGCGACCCAACUGAUCGACAAUGCUGCAGCGCUAGGUCUCCUAGCGACCCAACUGAUAAACAAUGCUGCAGCGCUAGGUCUCCUAGCGACCCAACUGAUAGACAGUGCUGCAACGCUAGGUCUCCUAGCGACCCAACUGAUAGACAGUGCUGCAGCGCUAGGUCUCCUAGCGACCCAACUGAUAGACAGUGCUGCAACGCUAGGUCUCCUAGCGACCCAACUGAUAAACAAUGCUGCAGCGCUAGGUCUCCUAGCGACCCAACUGAUAAACAAUGCUACAAGCGCUAGGUCUCCUAGUGACCCAAAUGAUAAACAACGCUGCAGCGCUAUGUCUCCUAGCGACCCAACUGAUUGACAAUGCUGCAGCGCUAGGUUUCCUAGCGACCCAACUGAUAAACAAUGCUACAAGCGCUAGGUCUCCUAGUGACCCAAAUGAUAAACAACGCUGCAGCGCUAGGUCUCCUAGCAACCCAACUGAUAAACAAUGCUGCAAGCGCUAGGUCUCCUAGUGACCCAACUGAUAAACAACGCUGCAGCGCUAGGUCUCCUAACGACCCAACUGAUAAACAACGCUGCAAGUGCCAUGUCUCCUAGCGACCCAACUGAUAAACUGGAAACUCAUUUAUCAAUAUUACUUAAUAAAGUACUUGAUAAACAUUCACUUUAUUAUCUCCCGGAGUUUCGACAUGUUUGUGUGACAUCAUUCACCUGCAUCUCGGCGAGAGUUGUGAAUUUCUGCUCGAGUCUACAAGUUGUAAUUCUGACUUCAAGAUGCAUCCAUUGCACUUUUACUAGUGGGAAGUUGUAAAAUCCGACUUCCCAAGUUGAAUGGAGCGCAGCACAACUUUUCAAAACUUGAUCUGAUACUGAAUGCCCCAGCAGCUUAAUUUACACUUUCCAAUUUACUUGAAGUGAAAAUCAGUCCUCCUUUCCUGAUUAAUAAAUGAAUCAAUCACACAGUCAUGCAGAACAUCUUGUGUUGUUAAAUCUAUAAGGAUCUCAUUCUCAACGGCGAUGACAGCAGUGAUGACAGCCGACUCAUCCGCAAGAUCUCGCACUCUCUUUCGAUUUACAUACGUCACUUAAAGCGUGAUUGCGUCACUCAAGGCCAGCUAGAAGGCCUCAACAGGGACAUAUCAUAAAGACCACACCCACCAAGAACAAAUAAACCAAUUUGAUUGGCUGAUGAAUCUGACUUUAGUUGCUCGUUCAUUUGGGCUGAUGGGGUGGAGCUCAGACUCACCGGCUGCUUCAGUCAUGUGACGUGUCAGUUGUCACACUUCAAAAGUUUGUCCAGUCAGAAUUUAUUCCUUGAUGCUUAAAAUUGGUCUCUUAAUUUUGUCCAGAGCUGUAUAUAUUAGAGGUGUAAACAAAUAUUGUAUCGUACAAUACGACGCUCACUAUAAAAUACCAAAUGUUUCGUAUGAUGUAUAAAAAUAAACAUUACGGUGUAAUUAAAAUCAAGCAUCACGACAUGAGCGAGGUGGAUCAGUCUCCUCCUCCCUCACAGGAAAUCAGAGCAACACACUUCCAGCACAUACACGAGAACAUCGAUGGCAAACGCCACCUGUAGCGCUUCAGCUUGUUGAAUUGUGUCCUGUCCCGGUGCUACAGCACAUCAAAUAUGUCGUUUAAUUCACGCCGACGUCACUGCACAAAUCAGUGGAUCUGUGAGACAGAAACCGUAAGUUUAACAGCCAGACACUCUUAAGUUAUGAGUCAUAACGAUCAAAAAAACCCGUGGAUUCUGGUUGCCCUCUUGCCCCAUUCCCCGGACAAUGUGUGCAGUUCACCUGUUCAGGGGUUUUGUGGGGGAACUCCGCUUCAAACGGACAUACCCAAAUCUGAAGACUCCUCUUUCCACAUACAGUGAAGAAAAUGUAACAUUUUGGUCUCAUUUUAAAGGAAACUUAAUUAUUGUAUAACUAAUAAUUAUCAGUAAUCAAUAAUUGUUAUUGUACGUGUUCAAACUACUAUAAUAAACACAAAUAAAUAGAUGCUUUUUGUCUUUGAAGGUGCAUAACUCAAGCCCUGUGUGCUCUUUUUAUAUAUGACAACAGCACUUACAAGGAUUCCCACACAAACAUAUGAGUAAUUAGAUGUUUUUAUUUAUUAGGGCUGUUAAUUUAGUGCGGUUCAUUUGAUAAAAAUUAAAGAAAUUAAAGAUUCCUGAGAAAUGCAAGCUUGUAGUACCACCUGUUUACUCCAGGGGGCAGUAAGUGAAACUUCAGCUGUAUGAGCAACACACAGUUUAUACAGUGAACAAACACUUCAGCAGAACAACACAAACAUGUGUUACAUUCUUGCGUUCAAAACAUUUGAUGGAGCACAAAUCUGAUCUAAGAGAUCUCGAGAUGUGUUUAAAGAUUGAGUAUUAAACUAUAUUUAACUCGACACAGUGAACUAUAAAUGUAUGUUUAUGACGCAACACACCCGAGACGCUACACAAGCAUGUCUGACGCAGGUGUACAUUGACGGGUCCUUAAACAAGCCCUCAUAAUAAAUCUCUGAUUGACAAAUUCACUGUGAGCCAAUGACUUAUGGUCAAUAAUAUGACAAAUAUUUGAAUAUGCUAUUAAUGAAUCGGGACACCAUGUAAUUUAAUCGAUUGACAGCUCUAUUAUUUCUUUAUAAAUCUCUUUUUUUUUUUUUUGCAUUUUGCUGCAUGUUUUGCUUUUUUGGAGCCACAUUGAGGUAAAUAAUAAAGUUUGCGUGUGCUUCGGCGAUACGAAGUGCGUUUCACAUGAGCGAACGUUACAGGCCUCAUGUUGACGCCCCAUUGCGCACAGAUCUCCAGCUCUGAUUGGUUGGGAGAGAAAGAUUGACAUGUGAUGUGUGUCUCGUCAUUCUCUGUGGACGAUACCAGAUUUUCGAUGCCGCUUUUAUGAAAUGACGACCUACAUUCUGCACUGCGGAGUUUCCAAACAUAAAAGCUCUCCUCGGCGAACAUUUGAUCGGUUUUAUUCCAACAAAAUAAAAUGACAAUCUGGAGACGGAGAGCUUGUGUUUGAGAUAUGGCUCAUCUAUGCUCCAUCAGGACAUAUAAGAUUUAAGAACAGGUUCAUCAAUCGAAACUCAACAGCAACUUAUGAUCCACCGUCACGGUCCGGCUAUGAUAGACGUCCAGAGAUGAAGCACAGUGCGUUACAGAAAGGUUAGCAUUAUUAUGCUAACAGAUGUGACUGAAAGUUUGUUGAUUUCUAUUCAGUGAUGGCCUUUGUGAACGCUUCCCGCGUUUUGAAUUCGCAUUAUUACGGAGUAUAAAAAUGAACGUCUGCGAGUGUGACGAGGUUUUCAACCUGUGCUGCUUAAUCGAUCAAUUAUACAGUCGUGAGAUGUUUUAUCACGUCUGAUUUUAAUUGCAUUAUAUCGAUAUCAUAUUUUUUGCAUGGGGGGCGCGUGGUCAUGUGUCAGUCUGCGGGAGAGAGCGCGUUAAGGAUCGUCACCUGUGUAUAAUUCUAGUGAUGUCAGAGGGAGACCUGAAAAUGCACGCCAGAGUGUCGACAGCCUAAA
Molecule: long non-coding RNA, 4616 nt
Organism: Xyrauchen texanus (razorback sucker)
Lineage: Eukaryota; Metazoa; Chordata; Actinopteri; Cypriniformes; Catostomidae
Exons: 2
Source: RefSeq, a predicted model, not a curated record